CGAAAGCCUGACGGAGCAAUGCCGCGUGGAGGAAGACGGCCCGUGGGUUGUACACUCCUUUUUUCAGAGAAGAAGAAGUGACGGUAUCUGAGGAAUAAGCAUCGGCUAACUCCGUGCCAGCAGCCGCGGUAAUACGGAGGAUGCAAGCGUUAUCCGGAAUCAUUGGGCGUAAAGCGUCUGUAGGUGGCUUUGUAAGUCCGCUGUGAAAGAGUACAGCUUAACUGUAACUAGGCAGUGGAAACUAUGAGGCUGGAGUGUGGUAGGGGUAGAGGGAAUUCCCGGUGUAGCGGUGAAAUGCGUAGAUAUCGGGAAGAACACCAACGGCGAAAGCACUCUGCUGGGCCAACACUGACACUGAGAGACGAAAGCUAGGGUAGCCAAUG
This 383-nucleotide ribosomal RNA is filed under the name uncultured cyanobacterium. Its description in RNAcentral is "bacterial SSU rRNA". It matches the Rfam family "Bacterial small subunit ribosomal RNA", at positions 376 to 774 of the family's 1533-position model. Lineage: Bacteria; Bacillati; Cyanobacteriota. The record is from RNAcentral.